ACUCCUGCGGGAGGCAGCAGUGGGGAAUUUUGGACAAUGGGCGAAAGCCUGAUCCAGCCAUGCCUCGUGCAGGAUGAAGGCCUUCGGGUUGUAAACUGCUUUUGUACGGAACGAAACGGCCUUUUCUAAUAAAGAGGGCUAAUGACGGUACCGUAAGAAUAAGCACCGGCUAACUACGUGCCAGCAGCCGCGGUAAUACGUAGGGUGCAAGCGUUAAUCGGAAUUACUGGGCGUAAAGCGUGCGCAGGCGGUUAUGUAAGACAGUUGUGAAAUCCCCGGGCUCAACCUGGGAACUGCAUCUGUGACUGCAUAGCUAGAGUACGGUAGAGGGGGAUGGAAUUCCGCGUGUAGCAGUGAAAUGCGUAGAUAUGCGGAGGAACACCGAUGGCGAAGGCAAUCCCCUGGACCUGUACUGACGCUCAUGCACGAAAGCGUGGGGAGCAAACAGGAUUAGAAACCCGAGUAGUCCCAUG
RNAcentral lists this ribosomal RNA (473 nucleotides) under uncultured organism. RNAcentral describes it as "partial 16S ribosomal RNA". It matches the Rfam family "Bacterial small subunit ribosomal RNA", at positions 335 to 799 of the family's 1533-position model. The record is from RNAcentral.